This 664-nucleotide long non-coding RNA is filed under the name Capsella rubella. RNAcentral's name for it is "long non-coding RNA (CRUB_LNC004178)". Lineage: Eukaryota; Viridiplantae; Streptophyta; Magnoliopsida; Brassicales; Brassicaceae. The record is from RNAcentral.
UUUGACUUCCUUGAUUGCAAUUCUAAACCAAAAACAAACGCUGUCAAACCUAGAAGGGGAUAUUAGGGGCGGAGUCAAGACCCGGGAGCUUAGAACUGAGACGUGGGAGCUCAGAGACGAUUCCAAGGAGCUCUCAACUCGUUUCAUCUCUGAAGCUAAGUCCACCGAGCUCAAAGCUGAUGACAAUCGCCAAAACGGUGUAAACAAGUAGCAACAGAAUGAUAUCCAUAGCCACAUGAAUACAAACAAAAGUUUAAACAUGUAGCUCCAAGCUAAUAAUAAUAGCCACAAGGGUAUAAACAAGUAGCUCGAGCUGGUGACCAUGGCGAAUAGCUUUCCGAGGGAGUAUACAAGUAGCUCGAAGAUGAUGACGAUGGUGACGAGUUUUUUUUCUAACGUGUAGACGAUUUUUUUUCGCUGAUGACGAUGGCGAAUAGCUUUCCACCAUGAUCAAAUGUUUGAUACAAGAAAAGCUGGCUUGGGUUUUUGUUUUUGUUUUUGUUUUAUUAAUUUAUAAGUAGGUUUUAUUUAUAUUUAUUAAAAAGAGAAACGGUCUGAGAAAUAUUUUGGUGGGAUAUUUUUUUUUGUUUCAACAAAACUAGGUCCGGAUCCGCGCUACAGCAAAUUAUCGUGAAUUGUUAUUUGGUUUUAAUCUAAAUAUCAG